RNAcentral lists this ribosomal RNA (735 nucleotides) under Pseudoselenomonas ruminantium. Its description in RNAcentral is "bacterial SSU rRNA". It matches the Rfam family "Bacterial small subunit ribosomal RNA", at positions 98 to 810 of the family's 1533-position model. The record is from RNAcentral. Lineage: Bacteria; Bacillati; Bacillota; Negativicutes; Selenomonadales; Selenomonadaceae.
GCAAACGGGUGAGUAACGCGUAGACGACCUGCCGCAUAGAUGGGGACAACUAUCCGAAAGGACUGCUAAUACCGAAUGUUGUCAGAUUCCCGCAGGGGAGACUGAUUAAAGAUGGCCUCUACUUGUAAGCUAUCGCUCUGCGAUGGGUCUGCGUCUGAUUAGCUAGUUGGUGGGGUAACGGCCUACCACGGCGACGAUCAGUAGCCGGUCUGAGAGGAUGAACGGCCACAUUGGAACUGAGACACGGUCCAGACUCCUACGGGAGGCAGCAUUGGGGAAUCUUCCACAAUGGGCGAAAGCCUGACGGAGCAACGCCGCGUGAGUGAAGAAGGGUUUCGGCUCGUAAAGCUCUGUUGACGGGGACAAAGGUGCAAGAUGCGAAUAGUUUCUUGCAAUGACGGUACCCGUCGAGGAAGCCACGGCUAACUACGUGCCAGCAACCGCGGUAAUACGUAGGUAGCGAGCGUUGUCCGGAAUUAUUGGGCGUAAAGGGAGCGCAGGCGGGAAGGCAAGUCAGUCUUAAAAGUGCGGGGCUCAACCCCGUGAUGGGAUUGAAACUGUCUUUCUAGAGUGCAGGAGAGGAAAGCGGAAUUCCUAGUGUAGCGGUGAAAUGCGUAGAUCUUAGGAGGAACACCAGUGGCGAAUGCCGCUUUCUGGACUGUAACUGACGCUGAGGCUCGAACGCGUGGGGAGCGAACACGAUUAGAUACCCUGGUAGUCCACGCCGUAAACGAU